UAGAUAUAGCAUUGUUGGUUGCAAAUUAAUUCCGAUGAGAAUUUAAAAUUGAUUUAAAAUUAUUAGUUUGGAGCCUUUCGGGUGGGUUUGUGUAGGGCCUUGGUCACUCUUUCUCCCCCAAACACCGUUCAAUUCUUCAGCCGUUCAUCAAUAACCGCACCACCCCCACCCGCCGAACGCAGAUUGUCAAAAUGAAGAUUAAAAACAUCCUCAAAAUUUCAACGAGACACUAUCCUUAACGCGGUAAUGGGUUUUACUGUUCCACACAACACAUGAAGAGAAGAACAUCCAUCAUCACCUAUCUCCACCGUUUCCAUCAAUAUAAUUUUCCCUCUGCCACCGCCGCCGCCAACUUCUCAACAACUCCUCGCCCUUUUCCCGACUACUCCCCACGAAACCCUUCCGUCACAGACACCGAGCUUAUCCGCCACGUCACAACUACAAUCAAACGACGCCGUUUAGAACCCUUCCGCCGCGUUCUUAAACCUUACGAAUCACGCUUCAAACCAAGUCAUCUUAUUUGGGUUCUCAUCAACAUAAAAGACGAUUACCAACUCGUCUUAAACCUCUUCAACUGGGUAAAAUCCCGUUCACAACAACAACUUCACCCCACUUUGGAAUCACUUUGCAUUGUCGUUCACAUUGCUGUUGCUUCAAACGACAUCCAAACUGCUAAAAGACUUGUUUUUGAGUUCUGGUCUACGCCGCGGUUGGAUGUUUCGAAAUCGUUUGAUCUUUUUAUUGAGAGGUUGAUUUAUACUUAUAAAGAUUGGGGCUCACACCCUCUUGUUUUUGAUGUGUUCUUUCAAGUGUUGGUUGAAACUGGGUUCGUUUUAGAAGCUGAGAAACUUUUUCAUAAGUUGUUAGGGUACGGUGUUGUUGUGUCUGUAGAUUCUUGUAAUUUGUUUCUGUCUAGGUUAUCUAGCAAUUUUGAGGGGAUUAAGAUUGCAGUUAAGGUGUUUGAAGAAUUUCCUGAAUUGGGUGUUGGUUGGAAUACUGUUUCGUAUAACAUUGUUCUUCAUUGUUUCUGUCAAUUGGGUAAGGUGAAAGAAGCACAUAACCUGCUUGUACAAAUGGAGAAUAGAGGGAGUUUUCCUGAUGUUGUAAGUUAUGGUGUUGUUGUUAGUGGAUAUUGUAAAAUUGGAGAGCUCGACAAGGUUUUGAAGCUUGUGGAUGAGUUGAAGAGAAAGGGGUUGAAACCUAAUGAAUACAUUUACAAUAACAUAAUUUUACUACUCUGUAAGAAUGGUGAAGUGGUUGAAGCGGAGCAAGUUAUGAGAGAGAUGAGAAAAUGUGGUGUUUUUCCUGAUAAUGUAGUGUAUACGACUCUCAUCAGCGGUUUCUGCAAGUCUCACAAUUUUUCGGUUGCGUACAAACUGUUUGAUGAAAUGAGACAUAAGAAAAUAGUUCCUGAUUUAGUGACAUAUACUACUGUGAUUCAUGGGAUUUGUAAGACUGGAAAGAUGGUUGAAGCUCGCGAAAUGUUUAAUGAAAUGUUUGUGAAAGGGUUGGAGCCCGAUGAAGUUACUUAUACGGCACUUAUUGAUGGGUAUUGCAAGGCUGGUGAAAUGAAUGAGGCUUUCUCGAUUCACAACCAGAUGGUUCAGAAGGGUCUGACCCCUAAUGUUGUCACUUAUACUUCGUUGGUUGACGGCCUUUGUAAGAAUGGAGAGAUAGAUGUAGCGAAUGAACUUCUUCAUGAAAUGUCUAGAAAGGGACUUCAACCGAAUGUCUGCACGUAUAACACGAUCGUAAAUGGUCUUUGUAAGAUAGGAAAUAUAGCACAAGCAGUAAAACUUAUGGAAGAAAUGGAUCUGGCAGGGUUUUAUCCUGACACAUUUACAUACACUACACUCAUGGAUGCAUAUUGUAAGAUGGGGGAAAUGGCCAAGGCACACGAGUUGCUGCGAGUUAUGCUCGAUAAAGGACUUCAUCCUACAAUUGUUACAUUCAAUGUGUUAAUGAAUGGGUUUUGCAUGUCAGGGAUGUUGGAAGAAGGUGAAAGGUUAAUCAAAUGGAUGUUAGAGAAGGGUAUAAUGCCAAAUGCCACAACAUUCAAUUCUCUUAUGAAGCAGUACUGCAUUAGAAAUAACAUGCGUGCAACUACUGAGAUUUACAAGAGUAUGCACGCACGAGGAGUGAUGCCAGACAGUAACACGUAUAAUAUUUUGAUUAAAGGGCAUUGUAAGGCUAGGAACAUGAAAGAGGCAGGGUUCCUGCAUAAAGAAAUGGUUGAAAAAGGAUUUAGUGUUACCGCCACUUCCUAUAAUGCUCUUAUUAGAGGUUUCUAUAAGAGGAAGAAAUUUGUGGAAGCUAGGAAGCUAUUUGAGGAGAUGAGAACACAUGGUUUGGUUGCUGAGAAAGAUUUAUAUGAUAUUUUUGUCGAUGUCAACUAUAAAGAAGGGAAUUGGGAAAUAACUCUUGAGCUUUGUGAUGAAGCAAUCGAGAAAUGUCUUGUUAAGGAAACUUAGUUGACUUUUGUCUGCAGUUUAUGACAGAAUUAUCAGGGAAAGUAUUUUCUUUCUUGGUGGAUCACUUGAAAGAUAAUUCGACAUUACAAAGCACAGAUGCUGGACACGACACUGAAAUGGACACGCCAAUACGAUUAUUAUUUGAGCAAAUGAAAUACAUAUUGGUGUCAUGUUGUUGUCAGACACUUAGACAUGGCUAACACACCUUCAAUUUGAAAUGUCGGUGCUACAUAGACUGGACUGGACCACCAAUUUUCGUCAUCAUAGUGUGACACUUGACUUCCAGGUAGAUCACUGGAUUUUGCCAAAGAUCAAAUUUUGCUCCCUUUUGUUUUGAAGGUCUGAACUUCUGAUUGCAAGUUUGAUUGCAUCUGGUUUUGGAUGACAUCUUUAGUAAUAUUGAUAAUGUUGUGCGUGUCUGGGUUAUCAUCACAUCUUUGUUGACAACACUCUGGUUUCUGAUUUCUUCAUAAUCUGAGUUUGAUAUUGGCACUGCAUAGUUUCAUGUUUUUGAGCUCAUGGAUCAUCAUCUUUUCCACACCGUUUACCUAUUUCUCUUAUAUGAAAAUUCGAAUUCACAUAAUUGCUAAUAGGUUAAGAAAAGAGCUGUCAUGAUGUCCUUUGAACAGGGUUGAAACUAAUGUUUCACAUGUGGUGGUGGCUGGUUGGGAAUUGGAAUCUUCAAUAAAUAAUUAAUGAAACUCAUGGAAUGACAAAAAUUCUUAAACCAGUGUACUUUAGCGUCAAAGCAUGGCGAUUACAUUUGUAUUUUGCAUGCAAAAUGCACUACAGUGUAAGACUCUCCAAUCUGAUAUGCUUGUGAAUUUAUAGUAAAAAAUAGUAUAGUAAUUAAGACAUUUGAUUGAUCUUGUUUUCCUUUCAUUAUUCAGGAUUACAUGAUCUAAUUAUAGAAAACAAU
Lathyrus oleraceus (garden pea) is the source of this 3390-nucleotide RNA transcript. It is a transcript of the gene named pentatricopeptide repeat-containing protein At1g05670, mitochondrial, with no coding region annotated. The transcript has 2 exons. NCBI's taxonomy places the organism in Eukaryota, Viridiplantae, Streptophyta, Magnoliopsida, Fabales, Fabaceae. The record is from RefSeq and is a predicted model, not a curated record.